CUGCAGUCGAGCGACAGAUAAGGAGCUUGCUCCUUUGACGUUAGCGGCGGACGGGUGAGUAACACGUGGAUAACCUACCUAUAAGACUGGGAUAACUUCGGGAAACCGGAGCUAAUACCGGAUAAGAUUUUGAACCGCAUGGUUCAAUAGUGAAAGACGGCCUUGCUGUCACUUAUAGAUGGAUCCGCGCCGUAUUAGCUAGUUGGUAAGGUAACGGCUUACCAAGGCAACGAUACGUAGCCGACCUGAGAGGGUGAUCGGCCACACUGGAACUGAGACACGGUCCAGACUCCUACGGGAGGCAGCAGUAGGGAAUCUUCCGCAAUGGGCGAAAGCCUGACGGAGCAACGCCGCGUGAGUGAUGAAGGUCUUCGGAUCGUAAAACUCUGUUAUCAGGGAAGAACAAACGUGUAAGUAACUGUGCACGUCUUGACGGUACCUGAUCNNAAAGNCACGNCUAACUACGUGCCAG
RNAcentral lists this ribosomal RNA (472 nucleotides) under Staphylococcus sp. RNAcentral's name for it is "bacterial SSU rRNA". It matches the Rfam family "Bacterial small subunit ribosomal RNA", at positions 55 to 511 of the family's 1533-position model. Lineage: Bacteria; Bacillati; Bacillota; Bacilli; Caryophanales; Staphylococcaceae. The record is from RNAcentral.